Molecule: long non-coding RNA, 92 nt
Organism: Amblyraja radiata (thorny skate)
Lineage: Eukaryota; Metazoa; Chordata; Chondrichthyes; Rajiformes; Rajidae
Exons: 3
Source: RefSeq, a predicted model, not a curated record
GAACAGAUAUUGCACGGACACACAAGACUGCAGGUGUUAAAAUCUUGAGCCGGAAAACAAACUGCUGGAGGAAGUCAGUGGGUCAGGCAGCA